GACGAACCGUGCGAACGUUGUUCGGAAUCACUGGGCUUAAAGGGCGCGUAGGCGGCCAACUAAGUCGGAUGUGAAAUCCCCAGGCUCAACUUGGGAACUGCAUCCGAUACUGGAUGGCUUGAAUCCGGGAGAGGGAUGCAGAAUUCCAGGUGUAGCGGUGAAAUGCGUAGAGAUCCGGAGGAACACCAGUGGCGAAAGCGGCCACCUGGACUGUACCUGACGCUGAAACGCGAAAGCUAGGGGAGCGAACGGG
RNAcentral lists this ribosomal RNA (253 nucleotides) under uncultured bacterium. Its description in RNAcentral is "partial 16S ribosomal RNA". It matches the Rfam family "Bacterial small subunit ribosomal RNA", at positions 524 to 776 of the family's 1533-position model. The record is from RNAcentral.